RNAcentral lists this ribosomal RNA (502 nucleotides) under uncultured bacterium. RNAcentral describes it as "bacterial SSU rRNA". It matches the Rfam family "Bacterial small subunit ribosomal RNA", at positions 28 to 508 of the family's 1533-position model. The record is from RNAcentral.
AGCGAACGUUAGCGGCGGGCCUAACACAUGCAAGUCGCACGAGAAAGUGGCUUCGGCCAUGAGUAAAGUGGCGGACGGGUGAGUAACACGUGGGUAAUCUGCCCUUUGGCGGGGGAUAACUGUCCGAAAGGAUAGCUAAUACCGCAUACGUCGGCGGGGUCUUCGGACCCUGCCGGGAAAGCCGGCCUCUUCAUGAAAGCUGGCGCCGAAGGAGGAGCCCGCGGCCCAUCAGCUAGUUGGUGAGGUAACGGCUCACCAAGGCUUAGACGGGUAGCUGGUCUGAGAGGAUGAUCAGCCACACUGGGACUGAGACACGGCCCAGACUCCUACGGGAGGCAGCAGUGGGGAAUAUUGGGCAAUGGGCGCAAGCCUGACCCAGCCACGCCGCGUGAGUGAUGAAGGCCUUCGGGUCGUAAAGCUCUGUGGGGAGGGACGAAAGCCCGUCACCUAAUACGUGGCGGUUUGACGGUACCUCCUUAGCAAGCACCGGCUAACUCCGUGC